UGUAACUUCAACUUUUUAAUCUUAUAAUGAGUAUGUCAUAAUUUAGACUUUUUAAAAACCUAAAAAAUUAACACAGAUGUUUACAUAACUAUCUCAGCCAGUGUUGCCAAGUUUAUGGUUUUCCCACGGAAUUAGGCUAAUUUAACACUGUUGCCGUGGGUUGUUUUUCAUGUCUGCGGGUUGAAGCGACUCCAAGUAACAUGAUAUUUAGCCCCUGAAAUGAGAAUUUUACCAGGGGAAACCCGCCAAAAACACGGAUUUUACCCCUCUGAAACGCAAUUGGGCUAGUUUUGAGUAGCAAUUGGGUGGGUUUUGUUGUGAAAACCUGGCAACCCUGAUCUUAGCUAUCAUUCCACACAUUGUUUUUGUUUCUGUCAGUGUAAAAAUGCAUUUUAUGAAGAUUAUUGGAGUAUGUUUUACAAAAAAACAGCAUUUCAGGGUUUCUACUUAAAAAAAAAAAAAAUUCACUUGCUACUUGUCGUUUCUUAUUUGUCUUGUAAUUAUUUGUGAAAGUUACUUGCCAUUUAUGAGUGAACAUUGUUUGGAAGUAAACCAUUUUAAACACUUGAUUUUUGUAUCGUUUUUACCUAAGGAAGAUUUAGCUCUCCUCUGGGAACAAAUUUGUCCCCAAAAUAUGGUUAAGUAGAUAAAAACACAAUCUCAAUCUCAAUGGAGCAUUUUGUUUAUGGGUGAACUUUGUUGUCCAAAUGGUGAAAAUGUAUAUAUAAACAAUAAACAGGAACAAUUACUACAA
Molecule: long non-coding RNA, 754 nt
Organism: Ctenopharyngodon idella (grass carp)
Lineage: Eukaryota; Metazoa; Chordata; Actinopteri; Cypriniformes; Xenocyprididae
Exons: 2
Source: RefSeq, a predicted model, not a curated record